RNAcentral lists this ribosomal RNA (422 nucleotides) under Wohlfahrtia nuba. RNAcentral describes it as "partial 16S ribosomal RNA". The record is from RNAcentral. Lineage: Eukaryota; Metazoa; Arthropoda; Insecta; Diptera; Sarcophagidae.
UUUAAAUGGCCGCAGUAUACUAACUGUGCAAAGGUAGCAUAAUCAUUAGUCUUUUAAUUGAAGGCUGGUAUGAAUGGUUGGACGAGAUACUAACUGUUUCAUAAAAAUUUAUAAUAGAAUUUUAUUUUUUAGUCAAAAAGCUAAAAUAUAUUUAAAAGACGAGAAGACCCUAUAAAUCUUUAUAUUUAAAUUAUUAUAAUUUUGAAGAUUUAUUUUGUUGUAAUAAUUAAUAAUAUUUUAUUGGGGUGAUAUUAAAAUUUAAUAAACUUUUAAUUUUAAAAUUCAUUAAUUUAUGAAUAAUUGAUCCAUUAAUAGUGAUUAAAAGAAUAAGUUACUUUAGGGAUAACAGCGUAAUUUUUUUGGAGAGUUCAUAUCGAUAAAAAAGAUUGCGACCUCGAUGUUGGAUUAAGAUAUAAUUUUAG